GCACAGAUAGUAUAAUAAAUUUACAUUAACUUUUCACGUUAAAAAUAUCAUCCAUUUGAUUCUAUGCU
This 68-nucleotide transfer RNA is filed under the name Thelepus plagiostoma. RNAcentral's name for it is "tRNA-Glu". The record is from RNAcentral. Lineage: Eukaryota; Metazoa; Annelida; Polychaeta; Terebellida; Terebellidae.